Molecule: ribosomal RNA, 454 nt
Filed under: uncultured rhizosphere oomycete
Lineage: Eukaryota; Oomycota
Description: eukaryotic LSU rRNA
Rfam family: Eukaryotic large subunit ribosomal RNA
Source: RNAcentral
GUGCGAGACCGAUAGCGAACAAGUACCGUGAGGGAAAGAUGAAAAGAACUUUGAAAAGAGAGUUAAAGAGUACCUGAAACUGCUGAAAGGGAACCGAAUCGUAUCCUGUGUCUAUAAUCCAUGGCAUAUUUCAUUGGCGAGUGAGUGCGUGCAGCGUUUUGGAAGUGGUUUUCCGCUCCUGUCGUUGGUGUGCAUUUGCUUGCUGGUGCCCUGUGCUGUGGUGGGACGUCAGAGUCAGUUUGUAUGUUGCGGGAAAUGGUUAUUGGGGAGGUAGGUCACUUCGGUGGCUGUUAUAUCCUGGUAACUAGUCGUCGUGGCUGAGACUGAGGUGCCUACAAUGUGCUUUCGAGUGUGCGGGAUUCUCGUGUGGCUGUUUGCUUUGAUAGCUUGCUGUGUUGGUGAAUAAGUCGUGCGAUUGAGACUUGUAUUAACUUGUUGCUGUUCGGGACUUUGA